CCCGGCGACCGGCGCACGGGUGAGUAACACGUAUGAAACCUGCCCGUAGCAGGGGGAUAAGCGGAAGAAAUUCCGUCUAAUACCGCGUAACAACCCAUGGAGGCAUCUCUGUGGGUUUAAAGGAAGCGAUUCCGGCUACGGAUGGUCAUGCGUCGCAUUAGCUUGUUGGCGGGGUAACGGCCCACCAAGGCGACGAUGCGUAGGGGUUCUGAGAGGAAGGUCCCCCCACACUGGUACUGAGACACGGACCAGACUCCUACGGAAGGCAGCAG
This 272-nucleotide ribosomal RNA is filed under the name uncultured bacterium. Its description in RNAcentral is "partial 16S ribosomal RNA". It matches the Rfam family "Bacterial small subunit ribosomal RNA", at positions 87 to 354 of the family's 1533-position model. The record is from RNAcentral.